Non-coding RNA from Gossypium arboreum, 142 nucleotides. NCBI's taxonomy places the organism in Eukaryota, Viridiplantae, Streptophyta, Magnoliopsida, Malvales, Malvaceae. The record is from Rfam.
UGUUGAAAAAUUCAUUCAUUUGUAUUGUUAAAAACUGGUGUGGUUGAUUAAAUAACCAGUGAUAUAUGACGUGCCACAUAUACAUCAUAUUGACAUAUAUGGACAAAUUUUUUACAACAAAAAUGAAUGAAUUUUUUUAAUA